GACGAACGCUGGCGGCGUGCUUAACACAUGCAAGUCGAACGAUGAAGCGCCAGCUUGCUGGUGUGGAUUAGUGGCGAACGGGUGAGUAACACGUGGGUAACCUGCCCCCUACUCUGGGAUAAGCCUGGGAAACUGGGUCUAAUACUGGAUAUGACCAAUCACUGCAUGGUGUGUUGGUGGAAAGAUUUUUUGGAGGGGGAUGGACUCGCGGCCUAUCAGCUUGUUGGUGGGGUAAUGGCCUACCAAGGCGACGACGGGUAGCCGGCCUGAGAGGGCGACCGGCCACACUGGGACUGAGACACGGCCCAGACUCCUACGGGAGGCAGCAGUGGGGAAUAUUGCACAAUGGGCGAAAGCCUGAUGCAGCGACGCCGCGUGAGGGAUGACGGCCUUCGGGUUGUAAACCUCUUUCACCAGGGACGAAGCUAACGUGACGGUACCUGGAGAAGAAGCACCGGCUAACUACGUG
This 469-nucleotide ribosomal RNA is filed under the name uncultured bacterium. RNAcentral's name for it is "partial 16S ribosomal RNA". It matches the Rfam family "Bacterial small subunit ribosomal RNA", at positions 28 to 507 of the family's 1533-position model. The record is from RNAcentral.